This is a non-coding RNA of Caenorhabditis elegans, 150 nucleotides long. NCBI's taxonomy places the organism in Eukaryota, Metazoa, Nematoda, Chromadorea, Rhabditida, Rhabditidae. The record is from Ensembl.
AAACUUACCGCUGAAAACGGCACCGGAUCCGCUGACAGUGUCGGAAUUGCCAUCGACAUUCUCCGAACAAACGCGGAUGCUCGCCUUCCGGCGGCCGACGACGUCGUCGAGGACGUCGAUGCAAUCGCCGCAUUUCGUCGUGUGGAUGAU